Molecule: ribosomal RNA, 404 nt
Filed under: Actinomycetes bacterium
Lineage: Bacteria; Bacillati; Actinomycetota; Actinomycetes
Description: Actinobacteria bacterium partial 16S ribosomal RNA
Rfam family: Bacterial small subunit ribosomal RNA
Source: RNAcentral
UGGGGAAUAUUGGACAAUGGGCGCAAGCCUGAUCCAGCCAUGCCGCGUGAGUGAUGAAGGCCCUAGGGUUGUAAAGUUCUUUCACCGGUGAAGAUCAUGACGGUAACCGGAGAAGAAGCCCCGGCUAACUUCGUGCCAGCAGCCGCGGCAAUACGAAGGGGGCUAGCGUUGUUCGGAUUUACUGGGCGUAAAGCGCACGUAGGCGGACUUUUAAGUCAGGGGUGAAAUCCCGGGGCUCAACCCCGGGACUGCCUUUGAUACUGGAAGUCUUGAGUAUGGUAGAAGUGAGUGGAAUUCCGAGUGUAGGGGUGAAAUUCGUAAGUAUUCGGAGGAACACCAGUGGCGAAGGCGGCUCCCUGGACCAUUACUGGCGCUGAGGUGCGAAAGCGGGGGGAGCAAACAGG